AGAUCCCAACCCUCUGGCACUCUCAUCUCUUAGCUCAGACAGAGCCCACUCCACCCCGCAGGCCCCUUUCUACCAAACCCUCUCCUGGCACCCAUCACCUCACACAGCAUGGCCCCAUGAGGCACCAACUCCUCCCCUGCUUCUCUACACUUGCCCUGUACAUGACCACCCUGGCCAUGGGGCCUUCCACCCCCGCAAGAGCAUGCAUAGCGCAGCUCACUCAAUCUGGUCCUUCACCUCCCUUCCCUG
This 249-nucleotide long non-coding RNA is filed under the name Homo sapiens (human). RNAcentral's name for it is "non-protein coding lnc-ZNF672-3:1". Lineage: Eukaryota; Metazoa; Chordata; Mammalia; Primates; Hominidae. The record is from RNAcentral.